This 253-nucleotide ribosomal RNA is filed under the name uncultured bacterium. RNAcentral's name for it is "partial 16S ribosomal RNA". It matches the Rfam family "Bacterial small subunit ribosomal RNA", at positions 524 to 776 of the family's 1533-position model. The record is from RNAcentral.
UACAGAGGGUGCGAGCGUUAAUCGGAAUGACUGGGCGUAAAGGGCGCGUAGGUGGUUUUUUAAGCUAGAUGUGAAAUCCCUUGGCUUAACCAAGGAACUGCGUUUAGAACUGAAUAACUAGAGAGAAGUAGAGGUAAGUGGAAUUUCCAGAGUAGCGGUGAAAUGCGUAGAUACUGGAAGGAACACCAGUGGCGAAGGCGACUUACUGGACUUUUUCUGACACUGAGGCGCGACAGCGUGGGGAGCAAACAGG